RNAcentral lists this ribosomal RNA (2584 nucleotides) under Escherichia coli. RNAcentral describes it as "bacterial LSU rRNA". The stretch from base 1233 to 2584 matches the Rfam family "Bacterial large subunit ribosomal RNA". Lineage: Bacteria; Pseudomonadati; Pseudomonadota; Gammaproteobacteria; Enterobacterales; Enterobacteriaceae. The record is from RNAcentral.
UAAUAAUCGUUUCGGAGGAGACUAGCGAUAAAGUGACUUCCGGAUAGCGUUCACGGAAAGGCUUAAUCAACGGCAUCAGAAAGUGCAGCACCACUGGAGUUGCGGCAUCGAUGCGCAACAGUCCACGCGGUGUAUUACGCGUCUCCAUAAUUUCUGAUUCUGCCGCUGCCAUCUCCUGCAAAAUUGACUGUACGCGACGAAAAUAACGCUGGCCUUCUUCCGUCAGGCUAAGUUGUCGCGUGGUCCGAUUAAGCAGGCUAACGCCAAGUUUCAUCUCCAGCUUUUUCACUGCCCGGCUUACCGCUGAGUUUGCUUGCCCUAAUUGUUCCGCUGCCCGGCUAAAGCUGCCGCUUUCUACGACCGAAACAAAAAUGGCGAGUUCUUCCGACGUGGCUUUCAUUUUUGCUCCUGUUGCAAAAUAGAAGAGAUAUUUUGAAUUUAUUUGUCAUUAAACCAUCAGGAUGCGUGAUAUGUCAUCCGAUUUAAUGUUCUCAAUAAUGAGCAAAAUUCUGACCUGUGUAAGCACUUGCUUACAUAACAAUAUACAAUUGCUCGUUGAAAGAGUGAGCUAAAAUCCCUAUAACAGUAGAACCCUCCCGAGUGCGGAAGGGUUGACGUAAUAGAGGUUUCAAAGUCAAAAGUGCGAAAAAACACCUAUGCCAUGCGCUAUGUUGCCGGACAACCUGCGGAAAGGAUCUUACCGCCGGGGUCUUUUGCGAGCAUCGGCCAGGCAUUACCACCUGGAGAACCGUUAAGUACCGAAGAGCGUAUUCGGAUCCUGGUGUGGAACAUAUACAAACAGCAACGCGCUGAAUGGUUGUCGGUAUUAAAGAACUACGGCAAAGAUGCACAUCUGGUGUUAUUGCAGGAAGCGCAGACAACGCCAGAGUUAGUACAGUUUGCGACCGCUAACUAUCUUGCCGCCGAUCAGGUGCCCGCUUUCGUGCUGCCACAACAUCCUUCCGGUGUAAUGACCCUUUCGGCGGCGCAUCCAGUGUAUUGCUGCCCGUUACGUGAACGAGAACCCAUUUUGCGUCUGGCGAAGUCGGCACUGGUGACGGUCUAUCCAUUACCUGACACCCGCCUGUUGAUGGUGGUUAAUAUACACGCCGUCAACUUCAGUCUGGGCGUGGAUGUCUAUAGUAAGCAGUUACUUCCUAUUGGUGAUCAGAUAGCUCACCACAGCGGCCCGGUCAUUAUGGCGGGAGAUUUCAAUGCCUGGAGCCGUAGAAGGAUGAACGCGUUAUAUCGCUUUGCGCGGGAAAUGUCGCUGCGCCAGGUGCGUUUUACCGAUGAUCAGCGCCGUCGGGCGUUUGGCCGCCCGCUCGAUUUUGUUUUCUACCGUGGUCUGAACGUCAGCGAAGCUUCUGUAUUGGUUACGCGCGCUUCCGAUCACAAUCCGCUACUCGUUGAANUGGAGCUGAAAUCAGUCGAAGAUACCAGCUGGCUGCAACUGUUUAUUAAAAACACAGCACUGUGCAAACACGAAAGUGGACGUAUACGGUGUGACGCCUGCCCGGUGCCGGAAGGUUAAUUGAUGGGGUCAGCGCAAGCGAAGCUCUUGAUCGAAGCCCCGGUAAACGGCGGCCGUAACUAUAACGGUCCUAAGGUAGCGAAAUUCCUUGUCGGGUAAGUUCCGACCUGCACGAAUGGCGUAAUGAUGGCCAGGCUGUCUCCACCCGAGACUCAGUGAAAUUGAACUCGCUGUGAAGAUGCAGUGUACCCGCGGCAAGACGGAAAGACCCCGUGAACCUUUACUAUAGCUUGACACUGAACAUUGAGCCUUGAUGUGUAGGAUAGGUGGGAGGCUUUGAAGUGUGGACGCCAGUCUGCAUGGAGCCGACCUUGAAAUACCACCCUUUAAUGUUUGAUGUUCUAACGUUGACCCGUGAUCCGGGUUGCGGACAGUGUCUGGUGGGUAGUUUGACUGGGGCGGUCUCCUCCUAAAGAGUAACGGAGGAGCACGAAGGUUGGCUAAUCCUGGUCGGACAUCAGGAGGUUAGUGCAAUGGCAUAAGCCAGCUUGACUGCGAGCGUGACGGCGCGAGCAGGUGCGAAAGCAGGUCAUAGUGAUCCGGUGGUUCUGAAUGGAAGGGCCAUCGCUCAACGGAUAAAAGGUACUCCGGGGAUAACAGGCUGAUACCGCCCAAGAGUUCAUAUCGACGGCGGUGUUUGGCACCUCGAUGUCGGCUCAUCACAUCCUGGGGCUGAAGUAGGUCCCAAGGGUAUGGCUGUUCGCCAUUUAAAGUGGUACGCGAGCUGGGUUUAGAACGUCGUGAGACAGUUCGGUCCCUAUCUGCCGUGGGCGCUGGAGAACUGAGGGGGGCUGCUCCUAGUACGAGAGGACCGGAGUGGACGCAUCACUGGUGUUCGGGUUGUCAUGCCAAUGGCACUGCCCGGUAGCUAAAUGCGGAAGAGAUAAGUGCUGAAAGCAUCUAAGCACGAAACUUGCCCCGAGAUGAGUUCUCCCUGACUCCUUGAGAGUCCUGAAGGAACGUUGAAGACGACGACGUUGAUAGGCCGGGUGUGUAAGCGCAGCGAUGCGUUGAGCUAACCGGUACUAAUGAACCGUGAGGCUUAACCUU